Molecule: long non-coding RNA, 780 nt
Organism: Fundulus heteroclitus (mummichog)
Lineage: Eukaryota; Metazoa; Chordata; Actinopteri; Cyprinodontiformes; Fundulidae
Exons: 3
Source: RefSeq, a predicted model, not a curated record
UUUAAAGAUGACUCUUAUCAGACUUUUCACAACUUUAAACUCCACGUUUACCCAUGUUUAGUGCCAAUAGACGUGAAUGUGACACAGAGCUCCUAUCUGGCAGAGAAGGACAACAACAUCACUCUGGAGUGGACCUUUACCUCCACACCUGACUGCUCCUCAGACGUCUUGACUAUCUCUUGUGUCCGUGUGAAUGAUGGCGUCAUGUUAUAUGAAAAAGUAGCAGGUGUUGUAGCGUCAGAGAUUCAGGAUGAACAGUUUUCAGGACGAGUCCAGAGUGACAAAGACGUCCUCAGAGAAGGACGAAUCAGACUCCAUGUGUCAAAUCUCAAGAUUGAAGACUCUGGAGUUUAUAAUUGUAUAGUGAGGAUAGGUAAUUGCCUUGGCUCAAAGAAGUGUGCUCUCAAAGUCACUGAGUCUCUUUCACCGAUGCACCAUUACCCAACAACUGCCCCCCCGCCUCCAGAGAAUCAGAGCAGAACAAGACUACUAUAUAAAGUAUCACCAGGGAUUAUUUUUUUCCUGAUCAUUUGUUGCAUUAUUUUUGUGAAGAUAAGAAAAAAAACUGAAUCUCUGCUCCCUGAGACAAUACCUCUCCGUGAAAGGAGGGCUCGGUCCUAGGGACCAUACGUAGAUGCUCUUGUUUUUUUGUGGACUUGAUAUGGGUAAAUUCUACUGCUGGAUACAUUUCUAACAAUGUUAUUUGCAGAUGUAAAACAUAUAACUGACUUAAAGAGAAAUAGCAAUGAGAACUUUGAAUAAACUUUACAAGCAUUUUGA